Molecule: long non-coding RNA, 1866 nt
Filed under: Brassica napus (rape)
Lineage: Eukaryota; Viridiplantae; Streptophyta; Magnoliopsida; Brassicales; Brassicaceae
Description: long non-coding RNA (BNAP_LNC016326)
Source: RNAcentral
UGGUUUAACAGGUGGGCUAUAAGUUGCUGUUGGAGGUUGUUGCACUGGUGGUGGCUUUAUAGGUGGGCUAUAAGUUGGUGUUGGAGGUUUUACUGGGGGAGGUUUAAUAGGUGGACUGUAGGUUGGUGUUGGAGGCUUCUGCACUGGUGGUGGCUUUACCGGAGGACUAUAAGUGGGAGUUGGAGGCUUUUGCACAGGUGGUGGUUUGAUAGGAGGGCUAUAAGUUGGUGUUGGAGGUUUUUGCACGGGUGGUGGUUUGAUAGGAGGACUGUAAGUUGGAGUUGGAGGCUUUUGCACGGGUGGUGGUUUAACAGGUGGACUAUAAGUGGGUGUUGGAGGUUUCUGCACCGGUGGUGGUUUUACAGGAGGACUAUAAGAUGGUGUCGGAGGUUGUUGCACUGGUGGUGACUUUACGGGAGGACUAUAAAUAGGUGUUGGAGGCUUCACUGGUGGUGGUUUAACUGGUGGACUGUAGGUCGGUGUUGGAGGCUUCUGCACUGGUGGUGGCUUUAUCGGAGGACUAUAAGUGGGAGUUGGAGGCUUUUGCACUGGUGGUGGUUUGAUAGGAGGGCUAUAAGUUGGUGUUGGAGGUUUUUGCACGGGUGGUGGUUUGAUAGGAGGACUGUAAGUUGGUGUGGGAGGCUUCUGGACGGGUGGUGGUUUAACAGGUGGACUAUAAGUGGGCGUAGGAGGCUUUUGCACUGGCGGUGGUUUUACAGGAGGACUAUAAGUUGGUGUCGGAGGUUUUACCGGAGGUGGUUUAACUGGUGGGCUGUAAGUUGGUGUUGGAGGCUUUUGCACGGGUGGUGGUUUAACUGGCGGACUGUAAAUUGGUGUUGGAGGUUUCACUGGAGGUGGUUUAAUAGGUGGACUAUAUGUUGGAGUCGGAGGUUGUUGUACUGGUGGUGGUUUUAUUGGAGGACUAAAAGUAGGUGUUGGAGGCUUCACUGGAGGUGGUUUAACUGGAGGACUAUAAGUUGGUGUUGGAGGCUUUUGCACUGGUGGUGGUUUAACAGGUGGACUAUAAAUUGGUGUCGGUGGUUUUUGAAUGGGAGGUGGCUUGACUGGAGGACUGUAAAUUGGAGUUGGAGGCUUUACUGGAGGUGGUUUAAUAGGUGGACUAUAGGUUGGUGUGGGAGGUUGUUGCACUGGUGGUGGUUUUACAGGAGGACUAUAAGUAGGUGUUGGAGGUUUCACCGGUGGUGGUUUAACUGGAGGACUAUAGGUCGGUGUUGGAGGCUUUUGUACUGGUGGUGGUUUUAUGGGAGGACUAUAAGUAGGUGUUGGAGGUUUUUCAACUGGUGGUGGUUUGAUAGGAGGAGGCUUUUGCACAGGUGGAGGUUUGAUAGGAGGACUGUAAAAUGGUGUGGGAGGCUUUUGGACUGGCGGUGGUUUGAUAUGAGGAGGCUUUUGCACGGGCGGUGGUUUGAUAUGAGGAGGCUUUUGCACGGGUGGUGGUUUGAUAGGAGGACUGUAAGUUGGCGUUGGCGGCUUUUGCACUGGUGGUGGUUUUACAGGAGGACUAUAAGUAGGUGUUGGAGGUUUCACAGGUGGUGGUUUAACUGGUGGACUAUAAGUAGGUGUUGGAGGUUUUUGCACAGGUGGUGGUUUGACAGGCGGACUGUAAGUUGGCGUCGGAGGUUUCACUGGAGGUGGUUUAACAGGUGGACUAUAGGUUGGUGUCGGAGGUUGUUGUACUGGUGGUGGUUUUAUGGGAGGACUAUAAAUAGGUGUUGGAGGUUUCACCGGGGGUGGUUUAACUGGUGGACUAUAAAUAGGUGUUGGAGGCUUUUGCACUGGUGGUGGUUUAAUAGGUGGACUAUAAAUUGGUGUUGGUGGUUUUUGGACGGGAGGUGGCUUGACUGG